This 2140-nucleotide ribosomal RNA is filed under the name Clostridioides difficile. RNAcentral describes it as "partial 23S ribosomal RNA". It matches the Rfam family "Bacterial large subunit ribosomal RNA", at positions 662 to 2819 of the family's 2925-position model. Lineage: Bacteria; Bacillati; Bacillota; Clostridia; Peptostreptococcales; Peptostreptococcaceae. The record is from RNAcentral.
GGAGCCGUAGCGAAAGCGAGUUUUAACUGAGCGUUCAGUUACUUGACGUAGACCCGAAACCGGGCGACCUACCCAUGAGCAGGAUGAAGCGAAAGUAAAAUUUCGUGGAGGUCCGAACCCACGAGCGUUGAAAAGCUCGGGGAUGACUUGUGGGUAGCGGUGAAAUUCCAAUCGAGCCCGGAGAUAGCUGGUUCUCCCCGAAAUAGCUUUAGGGCUAGCCUCAAGGUGAGAGAUACGGAGGUAGAGCACUGAAUGUCCUAGGGGGUAUUGCACCUACCGAAGACUAUCAAACUCCGAAUGCCGUCAUCUUAUACUUGGGAGUCAGACUGUGGGUGAUAAGAUUCAUAGUCGAAAGGGCAACAGCCCAGAUCGUCAGCUAAGGUCCCUAAAUGUAAGUUAAGUGGUAAAGGAUGUGGGAUUGCACAGACAACCAGGAUGUUGGCUUAGAAGCAGCCACUCAUUCAAAGAGUGCGUAAUAGCUCACUGGUCGAGUGAUCCUGCGCCGAAGAUUUCCGGGGCUAAAACUUACUACCGAAGCUACGGCAUCAGUAAUGAUGGGUAGGGGAGCUUCCCAUACGGGUUGAAGCAUGACCGUAAGGACAUGUGGACAGUAUGGGAGUGAGAAUGUUGGCAUGAGUAGCGAGAUGUGGGUGAGAAUCCCACAGGCCGUAAACCCAAGGUUUCCAGGGGAAGGUUCGUCCGCCCUGGGUUAGUCGGGACCUAAGCUGAGGCCGAAAGGCGUAGGUGAUGGACAACAGGUUGAUAUUCCUGUACUACCGAUAACCGUUUGAGAGAAGGGAUGACACAGUAGGAUAAGCUAAGCACACUGUUGGUUAUGUGUGCCCAAGCAUUGAGGCAGUCAAAGUAGGCAAAUCCGCUUUGAUAAUGCUGGGAUGUGAUGGGGAGCGAAAUUUAGUAGCGAAGUAGCUGAUUUCACACUGUCAAGAAAAGUCUCUAUCGAGGUUAAAGGUACCCGUACCGCAAACCGACACAGGUGGGUGAGGAGAGUAUCCUAAGGCCAGCGAGAGAACUGUUGUUAAGGAACUCGGCAAAAUGACCCCGUAACUUAGGGAUAAGGGGUGCCACCAUCAGGUGGCCGCAGAGAAUAGGCCCAAGCGACUGUUUACCAAAAACAUAGGUUUCUGCUAAGUCGCAAGACGAUGUAUAGGAGCUGACGCCUGCCCGGUGCUGGAAGGUUAAGGGGAUCUGUUAGAGCAAUCGAAGCAGUGAACUUAAGCCCCAGUAAACGGCGGCCGUAACUAUAACGGUCCUAAGGUAGCGAAAUUCCUUGUCGGGUAAGUUCCGACCCGCACGAAAGGCGUAACGAUUUGGGCACUGUCUCAACAACAGACUCGGUGAAAUUGUAAUUCCGGUGAAGAUGCCGGAUACCUGCGACAGGACGGAAAGACCCCAUGGAGCUUUACUGUAGCUUGACAUUGGGUCUUGGUACUACAUGUACAGGAUAGGUGGGAGGCUUUGAAACCAGGACGCCAGUUUUGGCGGAGCCAUCCUUGGGAUACCACCCUUGUAGUACUGGGACUCUAACCAUAGGCCAUGAAUCUGGUCUUGGGACACUGUCAGGUGGGCAGUUUGACUGGGGCGGUCGCCUCCCAAAAGGUAACGGAGGCGCUCAAAGGUUCUCUCAGUACGGUCGGAAAUCGUACGUAGAGUGUAAAGGCAAAAGAGAGCUUGAUUGCAAGACAUACAGGUCGAGCAAGGAUGAAAAUCGGACUUAGUGAUCCGGUGGUUCUGCGUGGAAGGGCCAUCGCUCAACGGAUAAAAGCUACCCUGGGGAUAACAGGCUUAUCUCCCCCAAGAGUCCACAUCGACGGGGAGGUUUGGCACCUCGAUGUCGGCUCAUCACAUCCUGGGGCUGUAGUAGGUCCCAAGGGUUGGGCUGUUCGCCCAUUAAAGUGGUACGCGAGCUGGGUUCAGAACGUCGUGAGACAGUUCGGUCCCUAUCCGUCGCAGGCGUAGGAAAUUUGAGAAGACCUGUCCUUAGUACGAGAGGACCGGGAUGGACGUACCUCUGGUGUACCAGUUGUCCUGCCAAGGGCAUGGCUGGGUAGCUAUGUACGGAAUGGAUAAGCGCUGAAAGCAUCUAAGCGCGAAGCCAACUUCAAGAUAAGAUUUCCCACCG